CAAAGGGGCAUCAGCGACUUCCUGCAGCUGCCAUCCAAGGAGAGCCGCGCAUCCGACGGAGACACGCCCGGGACCAGCGGCCUGGAAGCUCGGCCCUUGCCACUGGAUCCUGCCGAAGAGAGAGAGUGCUUGGAGGAAGAGUAGAUGUGACCUGACCUCGAUUUUCAUGUUAAAAUGCUCCUCCUACUCCAGCUGGGUUUUGUACAUUUGCAUAGCUCUUUACUUUUUUUUAUUACUUCCUUUCAACUUUUGUACGAGCCUUAAAGUCUGAGAGAUGGCACAAACACUGGAGAAAUUAAUUAGUUUUUACUGUUUGGCACUUAAUGUUCAUUGUAAAGCACUGGUUUAAUUUUUAUCUUGGUUUGCUUGAGUUCCUCCUGCUUUUGUCUUUCAUCUUCUGCCUGCCUUGUGUUUGUGCAAGACUUGCAUGAUCAUGGUUGUUCCGUUACUGCAAAGCAGAUCCUCGUUUUUAAUAAACUGAAACCAUCUGAGCACACA
This is a non-coding RNA of Zonotrichia albicollis (white-throated sparrow), 498 nucleotides long. Lineage: Eukaryota; Metazoa; Chordata; Aves; Passeriformes; Passerellidae. The record is from RefSeq and is a predicted model, not a curated record.